GGCUACUUCAGAGAGGCAUUGGCACAUCUCCAGAAUCAGAUCAAUUUUAUUUUAACAUGCUAGAGCAACAUACAGUCAUUAUAUGAUAGCUGCUGUGUGUAAUCUUUGAACAUUGCUGGAGAGCAGGUGUAGCGUCAGAAGACUGGAGGUGGGAAAUAACUAUAUUCAUCUGCAAGAAGGAGAAACGAUGAAUUCAGGUAUUUACAAACCAGUCAAUUUGGCAUCAAUAGCAGGAGUGACUUGGAAAACUGCAAGUCACUUCUGGUGUGAGAGAAUUGACCAUCUGCAAGGACAUUGCCCAGAGGAUGCCCAGAUGUUUUGAUGUGUUUACCAUCCUUGUGGGAGGCUUCUCUCAUGUCCCCACAUGGAGCUGAAGCUGAUAGAGGGAGCUCAUCCGCACUCUCCCCGGGUUGGAGUCAAACCGGCAACCUUCAAGUCAGCAACCCAACCUUCAAGUCAGCAGUCCUGCCGGCACAAGGGUUUAAUCAACUGUGCAUUUGUUUGUGACCCCCAAUUCAUGGAGUUCAGUGAUCCCUGAAAUAACUUUACUAAUAUGUAACAAGAUGUUUCAUACCAUAGAUUUUUAUAUUGGUUGCAUAGUGGUCAAUAGGUUACAGUGGGAUUAAUAAAAAAAGUAAUGUAAUGCC
Anolis carolinensis (green anole) is the source of this 647-nucleotide long non-coding RNA. RefSeq lists it as uncharacterized. The record is from RefSeq and is a predicted model, not a curated record. Lineage: Eukaryota; Metazoa; Chordata; Lepidosauria; Squamata; Anolidae. The transcript has 2 exons.